Long non-coding RNA from Corvus hawaiiensis (hawaiian crow), 2395 nucleotides. RefSeq lists it as uncharacterized. NCBI's taxonomy places the organism in Eukaryota, Metazoa, Chordata, Aves, Passeriformes, Corvidae. The transcript is spliced from 2 exons. The record is from RefSeq and is a predicted model, not a curated record.
AAAAGAAAAGAAAAAAGAAGGACAUGUUCCUGAUGGAAUCCAGACUACUGCAAGUCCACCAGAUGAGCAGAUCAAAAAGAUCUUUUUCUGGAGGAAGUUUCUAGAACUGAUUUUACAGGAAACGUGUUGUACUAGAGAUACUUGCUGGAUAUGGAAAGAUCAAACUUGGAGUUCCAUUCUGUAUUUUAGAAAUCUGCACGCUUUUCAAAACAACAUAUCUUCUUAAGAGAAAUUAGCUUACAUAUGCGGACUUUCAAGAGACUUAUUCUCAUCAUGUUUCUGUCAGAUGUUUCCCUUCAACUGUCCACACUGAAAGAGGACUUGGGAGUUAAAGCAAGCACUGGGCAUCCUUACAGAAGUAUACGACAGCUCUUUAAUCCCACAUUGCAGCCAUUAGAAUCAACAGAAACUUGCCCUACCUUUGAAGACAGUGAUUUUUUAGAAAUUGUAUAAUGUGAACCAGUUUCAACACUGAAAUCUCAGUUCUUUUCAUAUCAUGGCUUGGAUGUUUGAUGGCUCUGAGAGCUGAAAGAAGAUGGAUCUUCUAUGAUUGGAUGCAUCCUUACAAAUGACAGCAUUCAAUCUAAAUAGUCAAGGUUGAAAGCAUUCCUUAUGACACAGUGAUUAACUUGUCUGCCUGUCAUGCUACAUUAUUUAUUGAAUCUGGACUUUUUUAUUAGUCAGAAUUAAUCUGAUGGUUAUUUUACUUUUUUGUGGUCACAUUCUGCAACUGGUAGGUUUAUGAAAAAUAUUACAAGAAUUUUCCUGCUAGAUAAAAAAUCUGAUGCCAUAGUAGUACUUAAAUUGAAUGUUAAUUUUCCUAAUGGAAAAACCCUAGACAAUGUGCUCCUUCCGAUUGAAAAAGAAUUUAUUAAUUUUAUUCUUUUCCUAUGUUUAGUAUACUGCCUUCUAUUUCUCAUCUUGCAUACUAUAUCACUGACAUUAAUUUUAUCAAAAAGUUCCUGUCUUUGAUUAUAAUUUAACUUUUGUUCUUCUUUCUUUGUUGCCAUUUUAAGCAUAUUUUUUCUAAUUUGUGGUGAAUGACUGUUUCUGUGUCUUAGAAGCUACUGUAAUUAACACUCAUGAUGAAGUCUUGCUACUGUGUACUGUUGAGUAGUCCAAACCGAUUCCAUUAUGAAAAUAUAUCUGCAGCAUUGGAUAGAUAAUAUUUGUGUAUUUUCAAAAUGCAUAUUGCUUUUUUCAUGUUGAAUUUUGGUUGUGGUGGGAAGAAAACAAAAGUAUCAAUAUUUUUAAUAUAUAUUAUAGGACUGUUUAAAUUACAUUGGGCAAAAUGACCCUUUUCCUUCUAGCCUCCCUUAGUUUUUCAGCUUACUUUUAACUUUCAUACUUUGCACACAGUUCCGCGAUUAUUUUUUUUAAUGGCUAAUUAACCGAAAGUGCAUGACUUCUGAUUGCUCAUUUAAAUUAACUAAUGAGCAUGAAAGAAUUAAUGUAGCUUUGAUACAGGAAAAGAUGUUUUCAGUUGGCAUGUUCAUAUCCGACUUUCUCUCAGUAAUACGUAAAUGACAAAUUUAAGUGUCAGAAGAAAACCUACUAGAGUGUGCUACUUUGUAAUGUGUUCAGUAUUGUAAUGUGAAGAAACAAGCACAGAUACAACAGUACAAGUGGCAGAACAAGAACAAUAGUACAAGUUCUGUGCAAGUGACAGAACAAUUUAUAUUUACUUUUUUUUACAAUCUGUAGUUGAAAUUCACUAGUUGUUGACAUGGACAGCAAAAGAGUCUACAUUACAAAAUUUAUUUUGAUGUUUGAAUCCAUCUUAAACCAGACAUCUUUGGGAAUUGUCGUGUUAAACACCAAAUUUUUUCUGUUGGAAUGGUUGAAUGGUCUCAUAUUACAGUAGUUGACUGUUCAUUUGGAAAUAUUUAGGACAUUUCUGGUUGUCAGCAUGAAUUUUUUUUCUUUGUACCCUGCCUUUGUUAUCUUAGUAAUGUUUUAUAUUUUGGCAAUUGUUUGAGACAUCAUUAUGUCAUCAUAUUACAGUCUAGUUUUAGGUCUUCAUUAGUUUAAUGUUAAGCUUUUCUUUAAAAUUUUUGUAUGUUUUACAGUAUUAGAACUCACAAAAUAAUAAAGUCCUUGGGUUCUGAUAUUGUGUUUAUGAGAAAUAUACAUGUAUUUAUUAGUUGAUGAAGGUCCUGAUUAUUUCCUCAGAGGGAAAUUAUGUAAUCAAUACUGUAAGCAUGUCUCCAAAAAAUCAGUUAAAUGAUAAAUUAAGGUAAUCAUAAUAAGAAAUAUACAUGUAGAGUGAGUAAUAUUUAUAAGUUGUUCACUUAAUGAUGGGUAAUUUCAAUACCACCAAACAGGAGAGUUCUCUCAUUCAUAUGUUUCGUAACUUAAGGGCUGGAAUUGUCUCAGCAUCUCAUAAUAAUAACAU